This 422-nucleotide ribosomal RNA is filed under the name uncultured bacterium. RNAcentral's name for it is "bacterial SSU rRNA". It matches the Rfam family "Bacterial small subunit ribosomal RNA", at positions 355 to 775 of the family's 1533-position model. The record is from RNAcentral.
UAGGGAAUAUUGGACAAUGGGUGAGAGCCUGAUCCAGCCAUGCCGCGUGCAGGAAGAAGGCCUUCUGGGUUGUAAACUGCUUUUGCCAGGGGAUAAAAUUCUCUUGCGAGGGAAAUUGAAGGUACCUGGUGAAUAAGCCACGGCUAACUACGUGCCAGCAGCCGCGGUAAUACGUAGGUGGCAAGCGUUGUCCGGAUUUAUUGGGUUUAAAGGGUGCGUAGGCGGUCCUAUAAGUCAGUUGUGAAAUACGGCAGCUUAACUGUCGAGGUGCAAUUGAUACUGCAGGACUUGAGUACAGACGAGGUAGGCGGAAUUGACGGUGUAGCGGUGAAAUGCUUAGAUAUCGUCAAGAACACCGAUAGCGAAGGCAGCUUACUAGACUGUAACUGACGCUGAGGCACGAAAGUGUGGGGAUCAAACAG